CAUCCAGACUCCUACGGGAGGCAGCAGUGGGGAAUAUUGCACAAUGGGGGGAACCCUGAUGCAGCGACGCCGCGUGAGUGAAGAAGUAUUUCGGUCUGUAAAGCUCUAUCAGCAGGGAAGAAGAUGACGGUACCUGACUAAGAAGCCCCGGCUAACUACGUGCCAGCAGCCGCGGUAAUACGUAGGGGGCAAGCGUUAUCCGGAUUUACUGGGUGUAAAGGGAGCGUAGACGGCAGGGCAAGUCUGGAGUGAAAGCCCGGGGCCCAACCCCGGGACUGCUUUGGAAACUGUAUAACUGGAGUGCAGGAGAGGUAAGUGGAAUUCCUAGUGUAGCGGUGAAAUGCGUAGAUAUUAGGAGGAACACCAGUGGCGAAGGCGGCUUACUGGACUGUAACUGACGUUGAGGCUCGAAAGCGUGGGGAGCAAACAGGAUUAGAUACCCUGGUA
Molecule: ribosomal RNA, 447 nt
Filed under: uncultured bacterium
Lineage: Bacteria
Description: bacterial SSU rRNA
Rfam family: Bacterial small subunit ribosomal RNA
Source: RNAcentral